AGAGUCACUCCUACGGGAGGCAGCAGUGGGGAAUAUUGGACAAUGGGCGAAAGCCUGAUCCAGCGACGCCGCGUGUGUGAAGAAGGCCUGCGGGUUGUAAAGCACUUUUAGUGGGGAUGAAAAGCCUAGGGCUAAUACCUCUGGGUCUUGACCUAACCCACAGAAAAAGCACCGGCUAACUCUGUGCCAGCAGCCGCGGUAAUACAGAGGGUGCGAGCGUUAAUCGGAAUUACUGGGCGUAAAGCGUGCGUAGACGGUUGCGUAAGUCAGAUGUGAAAGCCCCGGGCUCAACCUGGGAAUUGCAUUUGAGACUGCGUAGCUAGGGUACGGAAGAGGGAAGCGGAAUUUCCGGUGUAGCGGUGAAAUGCGUAGAUAUCGGAAGGAACACCAGUGGCGAAAGCGGCUUCCUGGUCCAGUACCGACGUUCAGGCACGAAAGCGUGGGGAGCAAACAGGAUUAGAUACCCUGGUAGUCCACGCCAUAAACGAUGAGGACUAGACGUUGAGAGGGUAAGCCUCCCAGUGUCGCAGCUAACGCGAUAAGUCCUCCGCCUGGGGAGUACGGCCGCAAGGUUGAAACUUAAAGGAAUUGACG
This 594-nucleotide ribosomal RNA is filed under the name uncultured Gammaproteobacteria bacterium. RNAcentral describes it as "bacterial SSU rRNA". It matches the Rfam family "Bacterial small subunit ribosomal RNA", at positions 329 to 915 of the family's 1533-position model. The record is from RNAcentral. Lineage: Bacteria; Pseudomonadati; Pseudomonadota; Gammaproteobacteria.